This 3308-nucleotide long non-coding RNA is filed under the name Panax ginseng (ginseng). RNAcentral describes it as "long non-coding RNA (PGIN_LNC015194)". The record is from RNAcentral. Lineage: Eukaryota; Viridiplantae; Streptophyta; Magnoliopsida; Apiales; Araliaceae.
AUAUAUUUUAUAUUUGCUUUUAUGUGUGCUCGUUAGUGUCUGAUGAUAGAUAUACAGGUCAAAUCUAGUUCAGAAGAUUUCUGCAAAUAACAGUGUUUUAACAUUACUGAUACACAUGUUAUAUAUAGAAAGAGAAAGAAAAAGGAAGUACCUUACAACGCGGUAAUUCUCUAUUUCUCGCUCCGGAAAGAAGGAAAGAAAGAAAGAAAAACGGAGGUCGGCCGGCGGGAUGAUUAGGAAAUUAGACAUAUGGGGCCUGCAGUGGAAGUAUGGGUGCAGAAAUGUUGGAUCUUGGGAAAUGAGGGGACUCGGAGAUCAAGGCCACAGAGCUAGGUAAUAUUCUGGGCACUAGUUUGGAUAUAUUCCCUUCUUUUUCCCCCUUUUUUUGUAAAGCCCCCCAUGUUUCUUGAUUUGCCCAAAACAGAUUACUCUCCCCCCUCUCAGCAGAUAACUUAGUUAAUGAAAUAUAAAUGUGUGUGUGUAUAUAUAUAUAUAUAUAUAUAUAUAUAUAUAUAUAUAUAUAUAUAUAUAUAUAAAUGAAUAUAUGAAAAAUAUGAAGGAAGAUUAAUUAUCCUAGCCUGACUAGAUCUAAAAAUACGUUAAAUUGCUUAACGGGAUUCUAUUUUGCUCUAUCAAUCUAUGAAACUGUUUGAUGAAAGCAAGCGCGUGUUAAUAGCAGUGAACUGUGACAAUAUAUGUUAAGCUGUUUGACGGACUGUAUUUUACACUAUCAAUUCGUAAAACUGUUUGAUGAAAGCUUGUGUUAUAGGCUUAUUAUAGCAGUAAACUGUGACAAUAUGUUAAACGACGGUAUUUUACACUAUCAACCCGUGACACUAAUUGAUGAAAGUGCGUGUAAAGAGUAAUGAAUGUGUAUUAUAAACCGUGAGUAUACAUAAUUCACACGCACAAUAUAUAUAUAUAUAUAUAUAUAUAUAUAUAUAUAUAUAUAUAUAUAUAGAGAGAGAGAGAGAGAGAGAGAGAGAGAGAGAGAGAGAGAGAGANNNNNNNNNNNNNNNNNNNNNNNNNNNNNNNNNNNNNNNNNNNNNNNNNNNNNNNNNNNNNNNNNNNNNNNNNNNNNNNNNNNNNNNNNNNNNNNNNNNNACGUCUGAUAACUGUAUAAUCAGAGUGGGAACAGAUAGCCACAUAUAAGAAACUACUAGCCCCUAUAUAUCUUAUCGCUUACUAAAAAAGUAAGGGCUGAAAACUUAAUUAAUUUUAAAGGCCCCAAAUUAAGCUAAACGCAAAAAAGCAAAAGAUUUCUUAUAUCUUAUUUACUGUUAUAAUAUUGUCAAGUGGUUCUCUCAUUAUAUACAUCUGUAUUUUGCUUUUCACCGUUUGAUGAAGUAAUUCUUGUUUUAGCUAUGAUAUUGAUUUCAAGACAGUUUAUUUAAACAGUUUAUUAAUAAAUUCGAAUUAAUUUGAAAUAUAACUCUUUACUAUACCAAUAUAUACGUCCAACUUGUUUCUAUAAACUAUUUUUAUUGUUCAUUUUGAACGUAACUACCUAUUUUAAACUGUCUAAAAUCAAGAUCCUAUAGGUUGCAUUAUUUAUCUACCUAUAAAAGCUCCAGCUAGAAGAUAACAUGCAUGUAGGAAUAUAGGGUUAAUGUGUAUUUGAGUGGAAGAACCUAAAGGUGAUCAUAAAUGAUAGAUUUGCCUUUAUUCCAAAAGAAGAAAAGGCUGGUCAUAUGUACUUUUCUGGAGUCUCACAGGCAUCUUGAGAAUUUCACAGCAGUACCACUACACAUGUAAGGCACUAAAAUAUCUCCUCAAGAAUCCAAGAAAAACAUUUGAAACCCUAGGAGUUUUUUGCAGCUUUCAUUUUAAGAGGAUUAAUUAGGAGUAAAAGCCAGUAACUAAAAUUAGAAGAAAUAUUAAAUAAAUAAAUAUUAGAAUUAAAAAAAGCACGCCUUUGCACUAGGAACAUUUUUCAUUUGUUUUUUUCAUUUCUUUUCUGAUUAUAUGUUCUUUUCUUUUCUUUUCAUUUUUUUUGUCAUAUAAAUUUUUAUUGUGGGGUUGGGCUAUCAUUUAUGUUGCUUCAAUUAUAAAUCUCUAACAAGAAAACGAUCCACCGAAUUAUAUGUAGACAUAUAAAUGGCAAAAAAUGGGAGGUGAGUCAUAUAUAUAAUUGAGUGAAUUAUUAUACAAAAAUGAAGUACGUCGUUUUGCAUAUAUAUAUAUAUAUAUAUAUAUAUAUAUAUAUAUAUAUAUAUAUAUAGUAAUACGGCCAUACACAGUUGUGUAAGUUUUAUUUGUAUACAGUUUACCAAAACUACGUCAUUUUGGCAAAUUUGUAUUAAAAAAUAGCUUCUUGAUGAGUGUGUUUAUAUACAAAAAUUAGGUACUUUUGAGUUUGAUAAUUUACAAAUUCUAAGUUAGUUUGUUUGGUUUUUAUGUGCUUUCAUUGUAUUGUUGUGUAAUGUAGUUAUAUAUUGCUUUUAUGUAUUUUUGUAUUAUUUUUAUGUAUUUUUACUUUGUUUUGUAGGAAUUGGAUGGAAUGUCAUUUGAGUCGAUGGUUGAAAUCGCCAAAUUCGCAUUUUCGGUUUGCCAUUGACAUAGCAGUCCCAACUCCAAACUCCAAGAAUGAAAGUUAGAGAUCAACGUCUCCUCUUUCCGGAUCAUAUUGAAUCGUCCCAAUCGGAGUUCGGAUGCGAGAGUUAUGGUCAUUUUCCCAAUGGGUGUCAAAUCUGGAAACUACCAACUGUCAUUUGCAUAAUAGUCACUUCAUGGCCAAUUUCAACAUUGUUCCAGCCAUUAUUUCGAAGAACUCAAAGAAUGAAAGUUGUAGAUCUCACUCUCGUCUUUCCAGAACAUCUUGAGUCAUCCAAAUUGGAGUUCGUAUGAAGAAGUUAUGGCUAUUUUCCCAACAGAUGUCGAAUUAAAGAAAAUGAACCUGCGCUGCAGCGCCCCCAAGGCAAAAUCCAGUGCUGCAGCGCCUCUUAGCAGUAGCUCAACCCAUUUUGCAGCGCUGCAGUGCCCCUUUUCAAGGCAAAUCAGGCGUUGCGGCGCUGGGCACGGAUUUUUGACAAAUUUCAGCUGUUAAAUGCUCAACCUAAUGACCCAAUGAACAUAUCUUUCAUUUUAACUUGCAACCUAGAGGGAGAAAAGAGAGAGAAGGCGGAAGAGCUUGGAGAAGGAAGGCCAUGGCCUUGUGCCAAGUUGUUCAACAAGAUUGGAAGUGCUUCAAUGGCGGGCUUCAUCUAGAAACUAAGGGGAAGCCAUUCCUUUUCUUUCUUCUUCCUCUAGCGGCUAGAACUCAUGCUUGGGGAUCUAGUACACAAACACUUGUAACACUAAUGGGGGCA